CAUGUUUCAGAUGAACCAAUUCAGCCACCACCAGGUCCAUAAUCAUCAUCAUCAUCAUCAUCUCCUCCUCCUCCUUUUCCCGUCAUUUUUUCAUCAUACAUUGUCACAAUGUUGAUAUCAAAAGCUGUAACUUCAAUGGAUUUGAUCUUUUGUUAUGCAGUUGUAAUCGGCACCAAGUAAAUCAGUGUCAAGGAUGUACAGUAUAGUGUUCCUGACAUUGGAAAACCUUCAUAGUGCUGAUUCAGAGAUGAAGAAGAUUUUGCAAGGUGUUAACCUGUUAACUUUCUUCCACUGGCCUCUUGCAUAGCAUGAGGCCAUGUAUGGACCUCAAAUCUGCUGCAACAGCAUCUAAUUCCACUCUUAAUUUUAAACCUAAUCAUGCAUUCAUCUUAGGUGAUGGAAUAGGGAAGCAAGUGUACUAAGUCCCUACGUCCAUCACUGCCAUACAAAUUGAAGGUGACUUUUGGUCAUAGAAAUAUUUAUAUAUUAAUUGUACUAUUCUAAACCAUGCUGACCACCUUAUGAGAAGGAAGGACUCACUGGGGAAGAGCCUAACGUUGGGAACAAUUGAAGGCAAAAGAAGAAUGGGAUGACAGAGAAUGAGGUGGCUGGAUGGAGUCACUGAAGCAGUCGGUGUGAGCUUAAAUGGACUCCAGAGGAUGGUAGAGGACAGAAAGGCCUGGAGGAACGUUGUCCAUGGGGUAGCGAUGGGUCGGACAUGACUUCGUGGCUAACAACAACAAAACCAUGCUGAGAGCUUUUUCAAGGAGCCCAGACUUCUUCCCAGCAAAUAACCCCCCCUCCCUAUUCUAAGAAAGAUAUGAAUAGUAAUGGUGAAAAUAGAACUCUUCUGGAAUUUGCCCUAUUUCUGGUUUUAAUCGUAAUAAGCACA
Ahaetulla prasina is the source of this 892-nucleotide long non-coding RNA. RefSeq lists it as uncharacterized. NCBI's taxonomy places the organism in Eukaryota, Metazoa, Chordata, Lepidosauria, Squamata, Colubridae. The record is from RefSeq and is a predicted model, not a curated record. The transcript has 3 exons.